ACGCGAGGAACCUUACCAGGUCUUGACAUCCCAUUGACCGCUAUGGAGACAUAGCUUUCCCUUCGGGGACAGUGGUGACAGGUGGUGCAUGGUUGUCGUCAGCUCGUGUCGUGAGAUGUUGGGUUAAGUCCCGCAACGAGCGCAACCCUUGAUCUUAGUUGCCAGCAUUUAGUUGGGCACUCUAAGGUGACUGCCGGUGACAAACCGGAGGAAGGUGGGGAUGACGUCAAAUCAUCAUGCCCCUUAUGACCUGGGCUACACACGUGCUACAAUGGAUGGUACAAAGGGCAGCAAAGCGGUGACGCCUAGCAAAUCCCAUAAAACCAUUCUCAGUUCGGAUUGCAGGCUGCAACUCGCCUGCAUGAAGCUGGAAUCGCUAGUAAUCGCGGAUCAGCAUGCCGCGGUGAAUACGUUCCCGGGCCUUGUACACACCGCCCGU
This 439-nucleotide ribosomal RNA is filed under the name uncultured bacterium. RNAcentral's name for it is "bacterial SSU rRNA". It matches the Rfam family "Bacterial small subunit ribosomal RNA", at positions 959 to 1397 of the family's 1533-position model. The record is from RNAcentral.